GCGCCCGUAGCUCAAAGGAUAGAGCGCUUGGCUUCGGACCAAGAGGUUUGGGGGUUCGAGUCCCUCCGGGCGCA
RNAcentral lists this transfer RNA (74 nucleotides) under Candidatus Kaiserbacteria bacterium. RNAcentral's name for it is "tRNA-Arg". It matches the Rfam family "tRNA". Rfam says of the family: Transfer RNA (tRNA) molecules are approximately 80 nucleotides in length. Their secondary structure includes four short double-helical elements and three loops (D, anti-codon, and T loops). The record is from RNAcentral. Lineage: Bacteria; Candidatus Kaiseribacteriota.